GAUGAACGCUAGCGGCAGGCCUAAUACAUGCAAGUCGAACGAUACCAGAGAGCUUGCUUUCUGGGAAAGUGGCGCACGGGUGCGUAACGCGUAUGCAGCCUACCUUAAUCAGGGGGAUAGCCUCUCGAAAGAGAGAUUAACACCGCAUAACAUCAUUUUACGGCAUCGUAGAAUGAUCAAAUAUUUAUAGGAUUAAGAUGGGCAUGCGUGACAUUAGCUAGUUGGUGAGGUAACGGCUCACCAAGGCUACGAUGUCUAGGGGAUCUGAGAGGAUGACCCCCCACACUGGUACUGAGACACGGACCAGACUCCUACGGGAGGCAGCAGUAAGGAAUAUUGGUCAAUGGAGGCAACUCUGAACCAGCCAUGCCGCGUGCAGGAAGACGGCCCUAUGGGUUGUAAACUGCUUUUAUACGGGAAUAAACCUCUCUACGUGUAGGGCGUUGAAUGUACUGUAAGAAUAAGGAUCGGCUAACUCCGUGCCAGCCGCCGCCGUAA
RNAcentral lists this ribosomal RNA (498 nucleotides) under uncultured bacterium. Its description in RNAcentral is "partial 16S ribosomal RNA". It matches the Rfam family "Bacterial small subunit ribosomal RNA", at positions 28 to 523 of the family's 1533-position model. The record is from RNAcentral.